GUCAUCUGAGCGCUGUGGAGUUGAAUUUGUUUACGGCAAAACGGAUCUGAUUGGUUACUCUCUGGUUACAUGCAAAGGUUAAUAUUCUGAUAAGAACUGCUUCUGGCUACUGCAGGCCAAUGCUAACCAUCCCUUCGUCCAACAUGAGAGGGAAAACAAGUAGCACUGCCCAGAGAACCUGAAUUUGACAGCUGAGUCAAGAGUAAUGGAAAUAAACUACAAUAGCCUUGAAGUUUGAUGGUGAAAUAAAACAACCUCUCUUCUGGACUGGUUGAACCCAGCUGAUCAGUUCAAUCACCCAGGAGCACUGAGGCAGGACCCUGUAAAGGUGAUUCACUUCAUUUCAGCACUCCAUACACCAUUUGUCCUGCGCCUUUCAUCCCAUCUGUGUGUAUGGUUCCCCUCGGUCAGACAUUGUUGACCUAAUACUGCAGCGUGACAUUAAAAAAGAGACAAUGAAAAGCAUUUUUUCCUUCUGUCCCAUUGUAGAGAAGUUCAUAUUCUUUGUAUAACUUAAGAAAAAAAUACACACACUUGCACUUAAACCCCUUUUCUAAUGUAAACACUUCUUUUACGUAACUGUCACUUAAACUAGUUUAUUCUGGUACGCUUUCUGAGACGCUUUUCUGUAACUUUUGUGACAUUUUGAGAUAUUUGACAGUUUGAAGAGCUGUAGGGCGCUAACAGGCUCACCGUGUCUGCUACCACUGUCUUGUUUGCACUCAAUGACUGACACAGCAUUAUUGAUGAGGAGGCACAGCCCAGCGCUUUCUAAAGUUUUUUACGUGCCAUUAUUACAUAUGAAGAGUUUGACAGUCACAUGUUUAUGGUAGCCGAUAGGUGCGCCUGGACUAGCCAAGAAACAGGCCCUGAUAAGUAGGACAAAGAGCUCUGCAUUAUCUACACUUUUGAUUUGGACAAAAAGAAAUGGAAGAACACUGUCUUUGUUCAAAAAAUAUGGUAAACAAUUAGCUGGCGUUCCCUAUUGUUUCAGCCGCUGACCCGUGAAGGCUGGGAAGUGACUGAUGUCUUAUUGUGUUGCGGCCCCUCAUCUCCAUUCGGUGUGGCCAGGAAAUGUAGGGGAACUGGGCAAUUAUUUCUGAUUUAUCUACUCGGACAAAUCUUGGCACACUGAGCUGGGCUCCAGAGUCUAGUUGAGGUUUGUGUCCUCAUUAUCGAUAC
Molecule: long non-coding RNA, 1182 nt
Organism: Mugil cephalus (flathead mullet)
Lineage: Eukaryota; Metazoa; Chordata; Actinopteri; Mugiliformes; Mugilidae
Exons: 3
Source: RefSeq, a predicted model, not a curated record